Molecule: ribosomal RNA, 441 nt
Filed under: uncultured bacterium
Lineage: Bacteria
Description: partial 16S ribosomal RNA
Rfam family: Bacterial small subunit ribosomal RNA
Source: RNAcentral
CCUACGGGAGGCAGCAGUGGGGAAUAUUGCGCAAUGGGGGCAACCCUGACGCAGCAACGCCGCGUGAUUGAAGAAGGCCUUCGGGUUGUAAAGAUCUUUAAUCGGGGACGAAUUUUGACGGUACCCGAAGAAUAAGCUCCGGCUCACUACGUGCCAGCAGCCGCGGUAAUACGUAGGGAGCAAGCGUUAUCCGGAUUUACUGGGUGUAAAGGGGGUGUAGGCGGGCCUGCAAGCCAGGAGUGAAAUCUGGGGGCUUAACCCCCAAACUGCUGUUGGAACUGGGGGUCUGGAGUGAGGGAGAGGCAGGCGGAAUUCCCGGUGUAGCGGUGAAAUGCGUAGAUAUUGCGAAGAACACCAGUGGCGAAGGCAGCCUGCUGGACAUUAACUGACGCUGAGGCGCGAAAGCGUGGGGAGCGAACAGGAUUAGAUACCCGUGUAGUC